Non-coding RNA from Pelobates cultripes (western spadefoot toad), 202 nucleotides. The record is from the annotation of a GenBank genome assembly. Lineage: Eukaryota; Metazoa; Chordata; Amphibia; Anura; Pelobatidae.
GCCCUGAUAGGUCAGUGGUGGCACAGGGGCAUUUAAUAAGAUAAAAGGGUGCCAGGCAACCGUAUCCAAGAGGGAGGAGUCAGGCUGCCCAAAGGUCAGGGCAGGCAGCGAGAAAGAGUGGUCAGGAGGGAUGUUUGAGUCAGAAAUAAAUCAGAAGAGAGACAAGUCAGGAAAAUCACAAGGCAUUAGGAACCAGGAAUAG